GGAGACGACGGGGCAAUCGCCGGCCGCCGCCCCCCGGGGCGGCAGCGGGAGGAAAGUCCGGGCGCCGCAGGACAGGGUGGUGGGUAACGCCCACCGGUCGCGAGACCAGGGAAAGUGCCACAGAAAGUAAACCGCCGGGGAGGCUGUCGGCUAUUAGCUAUUGGCUCUCGGUCAGAGAGAAGAACUGGGGACCAAACUCAGUUUCGUCUGGCCGACAGCCGAAGGCCGAGAGCCGACAGCCUUCCAGGUAAGGGUGAAACGGUGCGGUAAGAGCGCACCAGCAGGCGGGGCGACUCGCCUGGCUCGGUAAACCCCACCCGACGCAAGGCCAAGCAGGGAGCAGAGUCGGUCCGGCUCGUUACGACUCUCGGGUAGGCUGCUAGAGGCGACGGGCAACCGUCGUCGUAGAGGAAUGAUUGCCGGCCGCCGCGCCCCUCGGGGCGUCGCGGUCACAGAACCCGGCUUACAAGUCGUCUCCGCGU
Molecule: RNase P RNA, 482 nt
Filed under: Planctomycetaceae bacterium
Lineage: Bacteria; Pseudomonadati; Planctomycetota; Planctomycetia; Planctomycetales; Planctomycetaceae
Description: RNase P RNA component class A
Rfam family: Bacterial RNase P class A
About the family: Ribonuclease P (RNase P) is a ubiquitous endoribonuclease, found in archaea, bacteria and eukarya as well as chloroplasts and mitochondria. Its best characterised activity is the generation of mature 5'-ends of tRNAs by cleaving the 5'-leader elements of precursor-tRNAs. Cellular RNase Ps are ribonucleoproteins.
Source: RNAcentral